UCUCGUUACACGACAAUGAGCAAAGAGAGGCAGCUGUAAGGCCCAAUAUUUGCCCGGCCCGUAAUAAAAAUAAAAUCAAAACAAAUAAAAAACAAAUCACAGUCCAAAUACAUGGGCCCAAUGUGGCCCAACCUGUUUUAACCUAAACUACCCAAACACUAGCCUAGCCCAAACACUAAUCCAGCUCAACCUAGCUCAAAACAUUCCC
This 208-nucleotide long non-coding RNA is filed under the name Gossypium raimondii (Peruvian cotton). RNAcentral's name for it is "long non-coding RNA (GRAI_LNC001563)". Lineage: Eukaryota; Viridiplantae; Streptophyta; Magnoliopsida; Malvales; Malvaceae. The record is from RNAcentral.